RNAcentral lists this long non-coding RNA (1132 nucleotides) under Helianthus annuus (common sunflower). The record is from RNAcentral. Lineage: Eukaryota; Viridiplantae; Streptophyta; Magnoliopsida; Asterales; Asteraceae.
UGUUAGUGGCGGCUCGGCCAUGGUGAUUCUGAUAUAUCUUAUCUAUCGAUCUACACACUUCCACGUUUCACGAUUUUUUGUGAAGAAAUUUUAGGGUCUGGAGGAAGGAGAACGCAAGUGUCGAAUCAGGGAACGAAGAGUCGCUCAAAUGGGAUUAGAGGUUUAUGCGAGGUUUUCCAUGACGAUAACAUCCAGAACUGGAAGAGUGUUGUAGGAAUUCACUUUGGCCGCAAAUAGGGUGUUUAGCCCCUCUCUAAGCUUUUGGUUUUGACAAAUGGGUUCUGUUUUGAAUCGGUAACAACGAACGCAGAACAUGAGAGGAAUAUCGAGCCAAAUGUGAGUCACCAACAUGAGAGGGUGUGAAAACUACAAUGAGUUUAUCCAGUGAGGGAAAUGCAUAUCUACAAGUAAUGAGCAAGGGAGAUAUUGUCAGUCGAAAAGAAGAAAACGUUGAUGCCAAGCAUUCUAAAAGUCCAGAGGAAGCUGUUAACGUCAACGGUACAGGAGAGGAGAUACGAAUGAUACAUUGGAAAAAUUAGUUGAACCUGUUGUUGAAAUCUGUUCAUGGUGAUAAAGCAUAUUCAAUCGCGCAUCAGGUGCAAAAUUCAGCUGAUUUUGAGUCCUGAUCCUGAAUUUGUAGAUAGCCUGGCUAGGAGUUAGUGAAUUGGUAUGUUUGUGUGAUCAACUCUAUCUAGGGAUUAUAUUGGUGGGUUUCCCGCUCAAUUGAUUGGAUCCAUUUUUACGUUUGACCCGACCCUUUAAACUAUAUGACUUAUUCGGUUUUUUUUUCGCUACUUUCUCUCUCUGUUGUUUCAUCAAUUGGAAAACCCUAAACCCAAUCUUCCAUGGAAGACCACUCUAACACUUGAUCCUGUUGAUUGAUGAAAUAGGUUUGAAGACGCCUCUAAUCACCAUUCGAUUUGAUGUAUUCAAAAACCCUAAAUCCGAUCCAAAAUUAGAGACGGCCCUAAUCUCCGAUCAUGUAGCGCUUUCAUUCCAAGUGUUUACGAACAUAAUGUAGCCGAUACUGGUGAGUAUUUCUUGAUUUGUUUUACAUGAAAUAGAAGUUUGUACGGGUAUUUGGCUAAUUCUAGAGUUUAAAGUUUGAUUAUUGAUGUUCAUGUGUGUUUGA